This 484-nucleotide ribosomal RNA is filed under the name uncultured bacterium. RNAcentral describes it as "partial 16S ribosomal RNA". It matches the Rfam family "Bacterial small subunit ribosomal RNA", at positions 30 to 507 of the family's 1533-position model. The record is from RNAcentral.
AUUGAACGCUGGCGGCAGGCCUAACACAUGCAAGUCGAGCGGAUGAAGGGAGCUUGCUCCUGGAUUCAGCGGCGGACGGGUGAGUAAUGCCUAGGAAUCUGCCUGGUAGUGGGGGAUAACGUCCGGAAACGGGCGCUAAUACCGCAUACGACCUGAGGGAGAAAGUGGGGGAUCUUAGGACCUCACGCUAUCAGAUGAGCCUAGGUCGGAUUAGCUAGUUGGUGGGGUAAAGGCCUACCAAGGAGACGAUCCGUAACUGGUCUGAGAGGAUGAUCAGUCACACGGGAACUGAGACACGGUCCAGACUCCUACGGGAGGCAGCAGUGGGGAAUAUUGGACAAUGGGCGAAAGCCUGAUCCAGCCAUGCCGCGUGUGUGAAGAAGGUCUUCGGAUUGUAAAGCACUUUAAGUUGGGAGUAAGGGCAGUAAGUUAAUACCUUGCUGUUUUGACGUUACCAACAGAAUAAGCACCGGCUAACUUCGUG